This 244-nucleotide unclassified non-coding RNA is filed under the name Hevea brasiliensis (rubber tree). The record is from RNAcentral. Lineage: Eukaryota; Viridiplantae; Streptophyta; Magnoliopsida; Malpighiales; Euphorbiaceae.
CAUGGCAUGGCUUCUUAAUACACUACAUGAAGAUCUUAGAACUUCUAAGAAAAAUAACAGCAUCAUUUAUGAGUGCUUUCAGGGGGAGCUAGAAGUUGUAAAAGAGAUUCCUAGUAAAGUUAUAGCUGAUAAGAAGGAAAAUGGUGAUGCCCAGAAUGGCAUUCCAAAAAAAUACUGAUGGUGGGAAUGAACAUCAUGAUGUUGUCACAGAAACAUCUAGAAUGCCAUUCUUGAUGCUUGGACU